AUACAUGCAAGUCGAACGAACUUCCGUUAAUUGAUCAUGGACGUGCUUGCACUGAAUGAGAUUUUAACACGAAGUGAGUGGCGGACGGGUGAGUAACACGUGGGUAACCUGCCCAGAAGCAGGGGAUAACACCUGGAAACAGAUGCUAAUACCGUAUAACAGAGAAAACCGCCUGGUUUUCUUUUAAAAGAUGGCUCUGCUAUCACUUCUGGAUGGACCCGCGGCGCAUUAGCUAGUUGGUGAGGUAACGGCUCACCAAGGCGAUGAUGCGUAGCCGACCUGAGAGGGUAAUCGGCCACAUUGGGACUGAGACACGGCCCAGACUCCUACGGGAGGCAGCAGUAGGGAAUCUUCCACAAUGGACGCAAGUCUGAUGGAGCAACGCCGCGUGAGUGAAGAAGGGUUUCGGCUCGUAAAGCUCUGUUGUUAAAGAAGAACGUGGGUGAGAGUAACUGUUCACCCAGUGACGGUAUUUAACCAGAAAGCCACGGCUAACUACGUGCCAGCAGCCGCGGUAAUACGUAGGUGGCAAGCGUUAUCCGGAUUUAUUGGGCGUAAAGCGAGCGCAGGCGGUCUUUUAAGUCUAAUGUGAAAGCCUUCGGCUCAACCGAAGAAGUGCAUUGGAAACUGGGAGACUUGAGUGCAGAAGAGGACAGUGGAACUCCAUGUGUAGCGGUGAAAUGCGUAGAUAUAUGGAAGAACACCAGUGGCGAAGGCGGCUGUCUGGUCUGUAACUGACGCUGAGGCUCGAAAGCAUGGGUAGCGAACAGGAUUAGAUACCCUGGUAGUCCAUGCCGUAAACGAUGAUUACUAAGUGUUGGAGGGUUUCCGCCCUUCAGUGCUGCAGCUAACGCAUUAAGUAAUCCGCCUGGGGAGUACGACCGCAAGGUUGAAACUCAAAGAUUGACGGGGNCGCACAGCGGUGGAGCAU
RNAcentral lists this ribosomal RNA (931 nucleotides) under Pediococcus acidilactici. RNAcentral describes it as "bacterial SSU rRNA". It matches the Rfam family "Bacterial small subunit ribosomal RNA", at positions 51 to 940 of the family's 1533-position model. The record is from RNAcentral. Lineage: Bacteria; Bacillati; Bacillota; Bacilli; Lactobacillales; Lactobacillaceae.